This 468-nucleotide ribosomal RNA is filed under the name uncultured bacterium. RNAcentral describes it as "partial 16S ribosomal RNA". It matches the Rfam family "Bacterial small subunit ribosomal RNA", at positions 28 to 507 of the family's 1533-position model. The record is from RNAcentral.
GACGAACGCUGGCGGCGUGCUUAACACAUGCAAGUCGAACGGAAAGGCCCUGCUUUUGUGGGGUGCUCGAGUGGCGAACGGGUGAGUAACACGUGAGUAACCUGCCCUUGACUUUGGGAUAACUUCAGGAAACUGGGGCUAAUACCGGAUAGGAGCUCCUGCUGCAUGGUGGGGGUUGGAAAGUUUCGGCGGUUGGGGAUGGACUCGCGGCUUAUCAGCUUGUUGGUGGGGUAGUGGCUUACCAAGGCUUUGACGGGUAGCCGGCCUGAGAGGGUGACCGGCGACCUUGGGACUGAGAUACGGCCCAGACGCCUACGGGAGGCAGCAGUGGGGAAUAUUGCGGAAUGGGCGGAAGCCUGAUGCAGCAGCGCCGCGUGCGGGAUGACGGCCUUCGGGUUGUAAACCGCUUUCGCCUGUGACGAAGCGUGAGUGACGGUAAUGGGUAAAGAAGCACCGGCUAACUACGUG